AUAAAUCACAAUGCGGAACAAUGUUUUGCAAUUGGAUUGAGAACAACGUACAAACCUUAUCGAUAAACAAUUGGAGGGCAAGUCUGGUGCCAGCAGCCGCGGUAAUUCCAGCUCCAAUAGCGUAUAUUAACGUUGUUGCAGUUAAAAAGCUCGUAGUUGAAAUGAAGGGUAGUUGUGUAAUGAAUACAUUCGUGUAUUUUGUUAUUCUACUACCCUCCUUCUAAAUUCGAUAUAUGAGUAUUAAUUUACUUGUAUAUGGUUUUAGACGUUUACUGUGAGAAAAUUAGAGUGUUCAAAGCAGGCAUUUGCUUGAAUAUAUUAGCAUGGAAUAAUCAUGUAUGAUUUUCAUGAUGUAUUUGAUUGGUUUGGUUCAUGAGAAUAAGAUUAAAAGGGACAGUUGGGGGUAUUCAUAUUCAAUAGUCAGAGGUGAAAUUCUCGGAUUUAUGGAAGAUGA
RNAcentral lists this ribosomal RNA (454 nucleotides) under Blastocystis sp. H-57. RNAcentral's name for it is "bacterial SSU rRNA". It matches the Rfam family "Eukaryotic small subunit ribosomal RNA", at positions 473 to 938 of the family's 1831-position model. The record is from RNAcentral. Lineage: Eukaryota; Bigyra; Opalinata; Blastocystidae.